CCACUACAGGAAAUUUUCCUUCUCGCGGGAGCGAAAUCCCCGCAUUUCCCCUGUUUUCUCGCAGCAAAUUUGCAGAAACUGCGAUAAUUACUCUUCGCUAAUCGGUCGAAAGUAAAACGUCUGCUCAGUGGAUUUUCGGUGAUAAAUCAUGGGCGGCCGCAAUUGCUGCACCUAACUCGGCGGUUCAUCUCUCGCAGCAAAAUCGUCUUGCCAAUUUGGGAGAAGGGCAAUUACGUUGAUGAGGCGUCGCAAAUUUGGGGCCAUUUACGGCGAUUUUGCGGGUCCGUAAAAUCCAGAAUUCGGCGAAUUUGGGGCUGGCGGAAAUAAGCUUUCUUCCCAAGGUUGCGGUGAAUUUAUAGACGCCGCAAAUUCAAGGAUUUUACAUACGGUGAAAGAUCGAGAUCCCCGCAAUUCUUUUUAUUCAACAUGCGGUGAAUUCGAUUAUCGCGCCGCAAGAAGAUGGUGCUGAUCCAUACGGUGAAAUAGCGAGAUCCCCGCAUUUGGUUUUGAUUAUAUAUGCGGUGAAUUAGAUUACCACACCGCAAUCUCAGAUGGAUUUUAAAUACGGUGAGCAUGUAUGGCGCAGGAAAUGCCAAUUAAUAUCACCGCGCGCUUGCUUACAAAUUUACAGCUGUGUGGGUUAAUGGAUAUGCGGUGAAUAAAUUAUAAGAACCCACUCGCAGAAUUAGAUUGAUGGGUUUUCUGAGCGGUGGCUUCAAACAAUAGUUGAUCAGAGCAAAUUUAUGGGUUUUUGGGUUCACUGAUGCAGCACGUCGUUGCAGUAAUUUAUGGGUUUUUGGAUUCGCUGGCUUCAAAUCACGUUAACGUUAUUUAAAGCUGAUGUUCUUCACCUAGGAAACUCAGUACCCAAAACCAUAUCCGGUGGCUGUGUUGAGUCGUCCGAUGAUGAGUUUUGCUCAACCAUUCGUGUCCACCUACACGGUUGCGACUGAAGUGUCGGACCACUCCAUGUGCACCCUUCACUAGCGCGUAUGCGAGUUUGUGUCAUUCAGGCAUGUCCACCAAGUCCUCUUCUUGUUCCUCUCAUGGCAAAUUGUUGGAUCAAAUGCUUGGAAAUCAAUUCUAUAUGCAACUGUAUUGUAAAAGCUUCUGUCAUGUGAAAUUAGAUAUAUAAACCACUACACAAAUCAUUGUGAAAAUGCAACAUUUCUACAGGCCCAUAAA
Molecule: long non-coding RNA, 1185 nt
Organism: Juglans microcarpa x Juglans regia
Lineage: Eukaryota; Viridiplantae; Streptophyta; Magnoliopsida; Fagales; Juglandaceae
Exons: 2
Source: RefSeq, a predicted model, not a curated record